RNAcentral lists this ribosomal RNA (440 nucleotides) under uncultured bacterium. Its description in RNAcentral is "bacterial SSU rRNA". It matches the Rfam family "Bacterial small subunit ribosomal RNA", at positions 338 to 795 of the family's 1533-position model. The record is from RNAcentral.
CCUACGGGUGGCAGCAGCAAGGAAUCUUCGGCAAUGGGCGCAAGCCUGACCGAGCAACGCCGCGUGGAGGACGACGGCCUUCGGGUUGUAAACUCCUUUUUGGGGGGAUGACACGGACCGUACCCCCAGAAUCAGCCCCGGCUAACUCUGUGCCAGCAGCCGCGGUAAUACAGAGGGGGCAAGCGUUGUCCGGAUUUACUGGGCGUACAGCGCGCGCAGGCGGUUGCGUAUGUGACCGGUGACAUUCGCGGGCUCAACCCGCGACGGCCCGGUUACACAGCGCGACUGGAGGCAGGGAGAGGGAUGUGGAAUACCCGGUGGAGCGGUGAAAUGCGUAGAGAUCGGGUGGAACACCAGCGGCGAAGGCGGCAUCCUGGCCCUGACCUGACGCUGAGGCGCGAUAGCGUGGGGAGCAAACGGGAUUAGAUACCCUAGUAGUC